AAUCACGAGAUUCGACUUACGCGGAAAUUCAAGUGAUGACAUCUGUAAAUCAAUAAUUGAUAGCAGAUGAAAAAUAUCUUGGCCACGGGGUAAAGUCUUUACACGUUCGUGUCAUGAUGCAAAACCAUCAAAAAGCAAUAUUUGUAAUGUUUUUUUUGUAGUUUUUUCAUCAGUUUUUUGCUCAUAUAAAACUUCCGAAAAUAUAAAGAAUGCAUAUUUAAAUAGCUUAAGAUCCAUAGUAGCCAAAUUAGAUCCACAAACGAGCGCAUGCUUAAAAAUUAGUUUGUACAAAUUUGAUAGCAAUCAUGCCAAAAAUGGUUCUCAAAUGUUUUGUCACACCUCCAGAUUGGAUACUAUAUUUUUGAAUAAUUCACUAAUAAAUUUUAUCCAGUUUUCAUGACAAGUGUCCAUUUGUCCCGUAAUGCCCGUGCUUACUUACCAUCCUCUACAAAACGAUUUUUGAAAACGUAUGAUAUAAUAAUUUGGAAUUGAAGUAUCGAUAAAACCGGCACACAUAGUGAACCGGGAAAACACCAAAAAAAUCCGGGAAAAACCGGGAAAAAACCGGGAAAUUAAAAUCCUGAUUCGUGUGGCCACCCUGCAAGUAGCAGAGCCGAAGUUGUUGAGAGAUUUUUCUGUGUGCCAAAGCGAGAGGCCCUGUCUUCUCUCUCUAGAUUUUGAACGGCAAACCGCCGCCCGUGUAGAGGUGUGUGCGUGUGACGAAAAAUGAUGGAGGAAAAAGGGGGAAGCGGGUGAAGUCUUUAGUUCGUCACACACACAUGCAUCUACCAGCGGAUUGCGCUGGACCGAGUCUACCCAUCUCUCUCGAUCAACCAUGAUUUUUCUGCUAUCGCUCUCAUCCGAGUGUGAGGCAUCCUCAGUGUGUCCAAAACUUUCCCUGUGGAAGGAUGCACUGAAGUGAGGUGCGAUUUCUUGUGCGACGUACUUUGCUCGUCUACGUUUUGGGCCGUGUUCCUUCUUCUUCAGUUAUGGAAUGCUUUAUCCUAGCAAAUUGUUGAGGUGUGUGCGUUAUUUAUCAAAGACUACAUGCUGGCCUCGUCAACAAUGUUCAAAGUGAGCGACGGAAAGAAAACGUUUUCCAGUUUUAAAAUAUUAAGAGCGGUAGGAGGAAGGAAGAACGAGAGGAGGAAGACCGGUAAAUUUGGAAGGGGGAAAGCGUUUUGCCGUCUACACAACGGGAGUAUGCCGAAACACCCCAAGUAGCAGAGCCGAUGUUGUUGAGAGGUUUUUCUGUGUGCCAAAGCGAGAGGCCCUGUCUUCUCUCUCUAGAUUUUGCACGGCAAACCGCCGCCCGUGUAGAGGUGUGUGCGUUUGACGAAAAUUUAUAGAUGAAAUACGGGGGAAGCGGGGUUUGAAGUCUUUCGUUCGUCACACACACAUGCAUUUACCAGCGGAUAUCGCUGCACCGAGUAUAGCCAUCUCUCUCGAUCCACCAUGAUUUUUCUGCUAUCGCGCUCAUCCGGGUGUUAGGCAUCCUCAGUCUGUCCAGA
This is a long non-coding RNA of Anopheles merus, 1511 nucleotides long. RefSeq lists it as uncharacterized. NCBI's taxonomy places the organism in Eukaryota, Metazoa, Arthropoda, Insecta, Diptera, Culicidae. The record is from RefSeq and is a predicted model, not a curated record. The transcript has 4 exons.